UGCACUCUGCAGCCUAAUAGU
This 21-nucleotide non-coding RNA is filed under the name Caenorhabditis elegans. Lineage: Eukaryota; Metazoa; Nematoda; Chromadorea; Rhabditida; Rhabditidae. The record is from RNAcentral.